RNAcentral lists this ribosomal RNA (935 nucleotides) under uncultured archaeon. RNAcentral describes it as "bacterial SSU rRNA". It matches the Rfam family "Archaeal small subunit ribosomal RNA", at positions 1 to 922 of the family's 1478-position model. The record is from RNAcentral.
UUCCGGUUGAUCCUGCCGGACCCGACUGCUAUUUGGGUGAGGAUAAGCCAUGCGAGUCGAAUGGGAUACCUAAAUUUCCCAUGGCGAACUGCUCAAUAACACAUGAUCAACUUGCCCUAUAGAGAAAAAUAACCUCGGGAAACUGAGGAUAAUGUUUCAUAGUUGAAAAGGCUUGGAAAAGUUUUUCGACCAAAGGGAUAAAAAAAAUGGUUUUUAUCCGCUAUAGGAUAGGAUCGUGCUCGAUUAUGGUCGUUGGUGAGGUAACGGCUCACCAAGCCGAUAAUCGAUAGGGGCCGUGAGAGCGGGAGCCCCGAGAUGGGUACUGAGACAGCGACCCAGGCCUUACGAGGCGCAGCAGGCGCGGAACCUCCGCAAUACACGAAAGUGUGACGGGGUUACCCAAAGUGUUCAAUUUUGAACUGUGGUAGGUGAGUAAUGUCCCCUGCUAGAAAGGAGAGGGCAAGGCUGGUGCCAGCCGCCGCGGUAAAACCAGCUCUUCAAGUGGUCGGGAUAAUUAUUGGGCUUAAAGUGUCCGUAGCCGGUUUAGUAAGUUCCUGGUAAAAUCAGGUAGCUUAACUAUCUGUAUGCUAGGAAUACUGCUAUACUAGAGGGCGGGAGAGGUCUGAGGUACUACAGGGGUAGGGGUGAAAUCUUAUAAUCCUUGUAGGACCACCAGUGGCGAAGGCGUCAGACUGGAACGCGCCUGACGGUGAGGGACGAAAGCCAGGGGAGCGAACCGGAUUAGAUACCCGGGUAGUCCUGGCCGUAAACGAUGCAUACUAGGUGAUGGUACGGCCAUGAGCCGUGUCAGUGCCGUAGGGAAACCGUUAAGUGUGCCGCCUGGGAAGUACGGUCGCAAGGCUAAAACUUAAAGGAAUUGGCGGGGGAGCACCACAAGGGGUGAAGCCUGCGGUUCAAUUGGACUCAACGCCGGU